AAGGCGCUGUUGCCGGUGCCGCCGGUCGGUGUUAAUCCCGUAGACGCGCGGCUCGUUGCUACUGUGAAGCCGGGCAGACUGGAUCCCAGGUUACAGCUGGAAGAGGAUCUCUUCCACGGGUGAAAUCCACCUUUGGAGAAAGCGCUGGAGUCAGAAUUGAGUUCACACACCAGUUCCAGAAGAGGGAAAAGGAGAUGAUGCACCAAAGCCACCACCGCUGAUUGGAAGGUUUGGCACCUCAUUGAAAAUAGGAAUUGUUGGUCUGCCCA
Notolabrus celidotus (New Zealand spotty) is the source of this 269-nucleotide long non-coding RNA. RefSeq lists it as uncharacterized. The record is from RefSeq and is a predicted model, not a curated record. NCBI's taxonomy places the organism in Eukaryota, Metazoa, Chordata, Actinopteri, Labriformes, Labridae. The transcript is spliced from 3 exons.